Salvia splendens (bonfire salvia) is the source of this 1309-nucleotide long non-coding RNA. RefSeq lists it as uncharacterized. The transcript has 9 exons. The record is from RefSeq and is a predicted model, not a curated record. Lineage: Eukaryota; Viridiplantae; Streptophyta; Magnoliopsida; Lamiales; Lamiaceae.
UCUGAAUUUAUCCAAUGAUAUUAUGAAAAAGAAAUGAGAGGUACUUGAAAUUAUUCCCGAGCUUCUGGAUAUGUUGAGAAAUGAGGGUUACACUAUGACAGAAGUAGAGGAAACCAUCUUUCUUCCUGGCUUGGUUGAGAAGGUUUAAUCCAGCUGAACAAAGUGGGGACUUAUCAAGACCCGUUGGCAUCCCAACAUUCAAUCAUUAUAGACUACCAAUGCCGCAGGCUUAGUCUGCUGUUGGGCUAAAAUCAUAGAAUAUGGUUCUCCUGAACAGGGUAGGGGGUAAAGAUGAGGAAUAUUUUUCAAUGGAAUGCUUUUUUCAGAAGAUUAGGCUGAUGAAGGCAUGAAAGCUAACAGAUAUGAGUUUGGAAGAGAUUUGGAGCAGAUUAGGAUCCCUUAUUGAUUCAGAGACGAUUACUCAACUAAAAAGUGUUGUGUGGAAAGAGCGGCUUGAAGGUGAUGAUAUUUGGAUAUAUGUCAGGAAGCUCCGAGGGAGAACUAUGGCGUUUCUGAAAUCCACACAGAUAGACUACCAAUGCCGCAGACUUAGUCUGGUGUUGGGCUCACAGACUGGAAUGAAGCUUUAAAAAUCAUAGAAUAUGGUUCUCCUGAACAGGGUAGGGGGUAAUGAUGAGGAAUAUUUUUCAAUGGAAUGCUUUUCGGAAGAUUAGGCUGUUGAAGGGAUGAAAGGUGUGCUAUGAAUUGCAAAUGCUGAUCCCAAGAGAUGUUUAGGUGCUGCAUCUAGAAAUCUAAAUUUUUUACAUAACUUCUUUGUUGUUACCGACUACUUGGACUACUGAGAAGGUCCUGCAACAAGUUAUUUAUAUUGUCACCCAUAUUGCUGCGACAGCAUCAAAGUUUCCUAAAGAAUGUGUUGUGCUUUCCUUUCAGGUAUAACUCAAAGAGGAGCCGACAUAAAGACUCGUGCUCAGGCCAUGAAGUGUGUUUAACAUCAAACAUCUAAACCCCUCAAAAGUUGUCUUAUUAUUAUUUUUUUGCAUUUUUAUUUAUCGUGUGCAUAAUGAGUGUAGUAUGUGCCACCUAAGUGUAGUGUAUCUAGUGUGUUUAUAGUUUGUGGAGUGUGUAUAUUUUUGUAUAGUGCGUAUAUGUUUGUAAAGUGUUUGUAGUGUGUAUGUUUGCUGUAGUGUGAUUGUAUUGUGUGUGUAACAUAGUGUCUGGAUUUUGCAUGUGCAUAGUGCAUGUGCAUUGUGCAUGUGCAUGUGCAUGUGCAUGUGCAUGUGCAUGUGCAUUUAGUCACGUUUGUUUUGUGUAGAGUAUGAAUUGUAUGUAUUUUGUUUAUAUAUUU